CUCCUGGGAAGUCCUCGUGUUGCACCCA
This 28-nucleotide ribosomal RNA is filed under the name Platanus orientalis. The record is from RNAcentral. RNAcentral also lists the same sequence under 1 other name. Lineage: Eukaryota; Viridiplantae; Streptophyta; Magnoliopsida; Proteales; Platanaceae.